Small nucleolar RNA from Mastomys coucha (southern multimammate mouse), 131 nucleotides. RefSeq annotates it as small nucleolar RNA SNORA33. The transcript has a single exon. The record is from RefSeq and is a predicted model, not a curated record. Lineage: Eukaryota; Metazoa; Chordata; Mammalia; Rodentia; Muridae.
UCACCAGCCAACUAAUCUGCUUACCUGAAUGUGUUUCUGCAAAAAUUUAGAAAAUGCUGGUAAUAAUGUUGUCACGUAUGAGCCUAAAAGACAAGUGACUGUUUUUAAGAUCCCUGAAAAUGGCUACAAUA